Molecule: ribosomal RNA, 468 nt
Filed under: uncultured bacterium
Lineage: Bacteria
Description: partial 16S ribosomal RNA
Rfam family: Bacterial small subunit ribosomal RNA
Source: RNAcentral
GACGAACGCUGGCGGCGUGCUUAACACAUGCAAGUCGAACGGAAAGGCCCUGCUUUUGUGGGGUGCUCGAGUGGCGAACGGGUGAGUAACACAUGAGUAACCUGCCCUUGACUUUGGGAUAACUUCAGGAAACUGGGGCUAAUACCGGAUAGGAGCUCCUGCUGCAUGGUGGGGGUUGGAAAGUUUCGGCGGUUGGGGUUGGACUCGCGGCUUAUCAGCUUGUUGGUGGGGUAGUGGCUUACCAAGGCUUUGACGGGUAGCCGGCCUGAGAGGGUGACCGGCCACAUUGGGACUGAGAUACGGCCCAGACUCCUACGGGAGGCAGCAGUGGGGAAUAUUGCACAAUGGGCGGAAGCCUGAUGCAGCAACGCCGCGUGCGGGAUGACGGCCUUCGGGUUGUAAACCGCUUUCGCCUGUGACGAAGCGUGAGUGACGGUAAUGGGUAAAGAAGCACCGGCUAACUACGUG